This 288-nucleotide ribosomal RNA is filed under the name Clostridioides difficile. RNAcentral's name for it is "partial 23S ribosomal RNA". It matches the Rfam family "Bacterial large subunit ribosomal RNA", at positions 2584 to 2874 of the family's 2925-position model. The record is from RNAcentral. Lineage: Bacteria; Bacillati; Bacillota; Clostridia; Peptostreptococcales; Peptostreptococcaceae.
CCCAUUAAAGUGGUACGCGAGCUGGGUUCAGAACGUCGGGAGACAGUUCGGUCCCUAUCCGGCGCAGGCGUAGGAAAUUUGAGAAGACCUGUCCUUAGUACGAGAGGACCGGGAUGGACGUACCUCUGGUGUACCAGUUGUCCUGCCAAGGGCAUGGCUGGGUAGAUAUGUACGGAAUGGAUAAGCGCUGAAAGCAUCUAAGCGCGAAGCCAACUUCAAGAUAAGAUUUCCCACCGCAAGGGUAAGACCCCAGAAAGACUAUCUGGUUGAUAGGUCGAAGGUGUAAGU